ACGAUGAUGCGUUCUAGACCCACGCUCCAUUCCUCUCACCUAGAACUGUCCCGGAAGUCUGACUCUGGAUUUUACCCACAUGCUCCCUUGAUCUGGUGCUUCUGGUUGAUUUGAGCUAAUAAGGAACUCUACAGGAAACUAGAACAUUAGAAGAAAAUAAGGGAAGUUUCCAUUCUUUUGAAAAGUUUGGAUUCCAAAGAGAAUGAAUAACUCAUCUUCACAUCACUCCCCAAAGAUUUGUCUUCUGCUUUGCUGACCUCAGGAUGCUGGCCAGCCAGAUGGAAGGACUGCCAAGCACAUGCAGCUUGCAUAGCCAGAAGAUCACUCUGCCUAUCUGGAAAUCAUACCUUCACUCACUGGGGAGGUUCUGGGUGCUCUUUACAUCCUAAGAAGCAAGGCCCUCCCAAAUGAUUUCAAGAGCACUCGUGGCCAAUGACUAACAAUUAUGCUAAAUCAAGGUCUGCUAAACAGUCUUGGCACUGCUACUGCCAACUCCAUAGACUCACAGCAGUGUAGAGGAACUUGACAUAAGAGGAUCCAUCUUGGAAGAAAUCAGGGGAAGUGUAUCACGAGGCUUUUAAUCCUCGAAGAAGCUGCCCCGUCAGACCUCCCCACUGGAAAGGACUUGCACAAGUAGUCGGUUCCUGAGCACUGGGCACCUUGCUCAUCUCUGCAUUUGAAUGUUCCAGGUGGGCAUACAGGUCCCCGAGGGCCAGCUCAUUCUCUGUCAGAAGAAAGAGAGUCUCCACUGCAGUUCUCCUCUCUCCUCUCUGACUGCUGAUCAAAGCAGAAGAAAAUAAAAGCGUGAGUGUGGUUUGGGUGAGUGCCUUCAUGUGACAACCAACCUGAGGGAGUUGAGCAGAUGCUCUCCUUCCCGCAGCACAGCAAGAAAGAGAUUUCUAGGAUAGGAAGAAGUGACCUCCAGGUAGAGAAGGAGCAGUGUGAGGACAGGUGCUGUUUCUUGCG
Fukomys damarensis (Damara mole-rat) is the source of this 966-nucleotide long non-coding RNA. RefSeq lists it as uncharacterized. The record is from RefSeq and is a predicted model, not a curated record. Lineage: Eukaryota; Metazoa; Chordata; Mammalia; Rodentia; Bathyergidae. The transcript has 5 exons.